GGAUAUGGCUCAGGGGUAGAGCGUCAGCUUUCCAAGCAGAAGGGUCCUGGUUCAAUCCCCAGCAUCUCCA
This 70-nucleotide transfer RNA is filed under the name Sphaerodactylus townsendi. RNAcentral describes it as "tRNA-Gly". It matches the Rfam family "tRNA". Rfam says of the family: Transfer RNA (tRNA) molecules are approximately 80 nucleotides in length. Their secondary structure includes four short double-helical elements and three loops (D, anti-codon, and T loops). Further hydrogen bonds mediate the characteristic L-shaped molecular structure. tRNAs have two regions of fundamental functional importance: the anti-codon, which is responsible for specific mRNA codon recognition, and the 3' end, to which the tRNAs corresponding amino acid is attached (by aminoacyl-tRNA synthetases). tRNAs cope with the degeneracy of the genetic code in two manners: having more than one tRNA (with a specific anti-codon) for a particular amino acid; and 'wobble' base-pairing, i.e. permitting non-standard base-pairing at the 3rd anti-codon position. The record is from RNAcentral. Lineage: Eukaryota; Metazoa; Chordata; Lepidosauria; Squamata; Sphaerodactylidae.